Long non-coding RNA from Dermacentor albipictus, 1346 nucleotides. RefSeq lists it as uncharacterized. The record is from RefSeq and is a predicted model, not a curated record. NCBI's taxonomy places the organism in Eukaryota, Metazoa, Arthropoda, Arachnida, Ixodida, Ixodidae.
UCUGAAGCUAGUGCCAAGUUUCUUGGAACUCGGUUGCCAAAGAGCAUUCUCUUUGCAGAUCCGCCAUAUAUCUCUGAUAUUGCAAACUGGAGUACUCGUUCCUAUGUCCGACGUAGCUUUAGACAGUUCGUUCGAUACCUUACUAUGUAUAAGAUUUAGUACCUUUAGACAAAUCGUGUGAUAACUCACUUUUUAAAACAGUUAGAAAUACAACGCGGAUAACGUAACAAUACAGCUUUUUUGACGGACUAAUAUGGUUAGUUCCCUCCACUGCCUUCCAGUAAUCUAACGAAAUUCGUAGCAUAGGCUUUCUUGAGUCUGUGUUCUGUAAGAAUAAUUGCUUUGGGUAUAGCGAAACACUUUCCGCUGAUACACCACACUCAAAGUCGUAGUGUGACGACGUUAUGAUGCUGAGUUGUUUGAAAAACUUAGCCAACCUUAUAUAUAAUAUGUUCCUCAAUCCCCUCAGAAGGUAUUCGCAGAACUAAAAUUGUUCGGUAAUCGCUAAACGUAUAUUUACCUGCACAUUUGUAUAACACUGAGUCUAAACACACAAAAAUCUGUCAGAAAUAACGAUGCAGUUCACAACAUAAGUAAAACAUAUUCAAAUUAUCACAAAUUUGCUAUGUAUCAUGAUCUAUACAGCCUGAUGGACGUGGCAUGCUGGGUGUGGUUUUUUUAGACCAUGAAGAAUUUAUUUAGAAUCGCCUGACACAAAUAGCUUAUUUGCAGUCAAUACCCUGGGUUACUUAAAGAGGCUGACAUGAUUUGCAAAAGAAAUUGGCAAGGUGACCGCAACGCCCCCAACCAUGCUUAGACGACUUCUGCUCUUUGUGCGAUUUCUCUUCGGGUUCCUUGCUACUGUGGGACCCCCUCCUGCCGUCCAGGAUGCGCUGUCGAUUGCGGAACAACGGAUACAGCAUUCAUCUUGCCGGUGGCUGGCCUGCCCUGUCUUCUUUGGUGAAGAAAGCCUUGCCCUGAGCGCCGCCGAUUUCAACUUAUCUCCGUUCGACUACUUAGUCACGGACUGUCCAAUCCUACUGGUAUCCAGCGGUGUGACGUCAGUACCUGCGACUAUAAGAGCAGCACCGCUGGCCGCUUUCUUCAGUGGGCAAGGUAACAGCAACGCCGCAACCCUGCUUAGACGACUUUCGCUCUUUGUGCAGACAAGGCCAACAUAUGUGCGGACAAUUCUUCCCAUCACAGAUGGCACUCGCGAAAGGAUGUACGUGCAGCAUGAGAGACUAAUUGGAAGACGCAUGGUGUCUACUUCAGUUUGUGCUGAAUGCGGUCUGCAUACGGAUGCGCCUGAUGAUUUCUUCGGCGAAGGCUUUUCUGAAUAAAUC